Molecule: ribosomal RNA, 259 nt
Filed under: uncultured bacterium
Lineage: Bacteria
Description: partial 16S ribosomal RNA
Rfam family: Bacterial small subunit ribosomal RNA
Source: RNAcentral
GUCCACGCAGUAAACGAUGAAUACUAGCUGUAUGCGAUAUACUGUAUGUGGCAAAGCGAAAGCGUUAAGUAUUCCACCUGGGGAGUACGUUCGCAAGAAUGAAACUCAAAGGAAUUGACGGGGGCCCGCACAAGCGGAGGAACAUGUGGUUUAAUUCGAUGAUACGCGAGGAACCUUACCCGGGCUUGAAAUGCAUCUGACCGAUCAGGAAACUGAUUUUCUAGCAAUAGCAGAUGUGUAGGUGCUGCAUGGUUGUCGU